GUCUACAGCUAUGCUAUCCUGAACAAGCUUGAUCCCAGCUGAUCUUGGAAGCUAAGCAGGGUUGGGCCUGGUUAGUACUUGAUAUGGGAGACCACCUAGGAAGACCAGGUGCUGUAGGCG
RNAcentral lists this ribosomal RNA (120 nucleotides) under Pteropus alecto (black flying fox). Lineage: Eukaryota; Metazoa; Chordata; Mammalia; Chiroptera; Pteropodidae. The record is from RNAcentral.